This 496-nucleotide ribosomal RNA is filed under the name uncultured bacterium. RNAcentral describes it as "partial 16S ribosomal RNA". It matches the Rfam family "Bacterial small subunit ribosomal RNA", at positions 29 to 507 of the family's 1533-position model. The record is from RNAcentral.
AUGAACGCUGGCGGCGUGCCUAAUACAUGCAAGUCGAGCGAACAGACGAGGAGCUUGCUCCUCUGACGUUAGCGGCGGACGGGUGAGUAACACGUGGAUAACCUACCUAUAAGCCUGGGAUAACUUCGGGAAACCGGAGCUAAUACCGGAUAAUAUAUUGAACCGCAUGGUUCAAUAGUGAAAGACGGUUUUGCUGUCACUUAUAGAUGGAUCCGCGCCGCAUUAGCUAGUUGGUAAGGUAACGGCUUACCAAGGCAACGAUGCGUAGCCGACCUGAGAGGGUGAUCGGCCACACUGGAACUGAGACACGGUCCAGACUCCUACGGGAGGCAGCAGUAGGGAAUCUUCCGCAAUGGGCGAAAGCCUGACGGAGCAACGCCGCGUGAGUGAUGAAGGUCUUCGGAUCGUAAAACUCUGUUAUUAGGGAAGAACAAAUGUGUAAGUAACUAUGCACGUCUUGACGGUACCUAAUCAGAAAGCCACGGCUAACUACGUG